This 207-nucleotide ribosomal RNA is filed under the name uncultured bacterium. RNAcentral's name for it is "partial 16S ribosomal RNA". It matches the Rfam family "Bacterial small subunit ribosomal RNA", at positions 568 to 774 of the family's 1533-position model. The record is from RNAcentral.
CACGUAGGCGGAUUGGAAAGUCAGAGGUGAAAUCCCAGAGCUCAACUUUGGAACUGCCUUUGAAACUCCCAGUCUUGAGGUCGAGAGAGGUGAGUGGAAUUCCGAGUGUAGAGGUGAAAUUCGUAGAUAUUCGGAGGAACACCAGUGGCGAAGGCGGCUCACUGGUUCGAUACUGACGCUGAGGUGCGAAAGCGUGGGGAGCAAACA